CCUUUCAAGCCAGGCAGUGGUGGGUUAGUCCCUACUCCCUAGCCGCUAGCGGCUAGCCCCUACCCUUGAAAUCUCAGCAGCCGCCGUCGCAUUUGAACCGGCAAUUGUUUUUUUUCUCGUUUGUUGUCAUUUUCGUUUUUAAUGGCGGCCUGCUGUCAUUUAAAAUGAAUAAAGAUAUUACUUAUAGAAAAGGGCCGACUGCUCGUGAAGAGAACGAUGGAAUUUAUAGAUUCGGCUGGGAAACUUGUCGAGAAAGCUUUUUUGCUUUUUUAGAUAAACAGACACGAGAGUUUGGUACCUUCUCAAACAGGCAUAAUUUCAAUCUAAUUAAUUUUAUCUGAGAUUUUUUUUACCAGAUUUUUUUACUAACAGGGUUUGUACAACUUCAAUCUGGAUAAAAGUAGAUUGAAUUCUAAUAGAUUGAACUCCUUCUAUAUUUACUGCAGGAGCCCUCACUUUUUGCCGUAGCAAAACUGUUGGAAACUGGUCUUGUAAAUCUGAACAGGGUAGACGUUCUUUGGCGUCCUGUAACCAUAGACAACGAAGUGGAAGACCACGAAGGGGGCCAUAAGGCUGAGAGGACGAGAGGUAGCGAUGCGCGUAACAUGCCGCAUGUGGCGCUGAGUCCGAUAAUAUAAUAAUUUUGGGUUUCCCUACUGAUUCAAUGCUUCACACACAGUCAUUUAAAAAUGAAUCAUGCACGGUAUCACUUUGGUAUGCACAUGUAAAUUAAGCGCAAAAAUUCAGCAUAUCGUGUGAAUUAUUUCAUAUUUUUAGUGGUUGGGUAACGUUCGUUCAUAAAAUGUUUUAUGUUUCCCCAUUUUCCCCCAUUUUCCGAAACAAGUUUGUAUCAAUCGUGAAACGCUGCAUGUUGGCAAUUGGUCUCGGAAAAUGGGGAAACAUUGAACCUUUGUUCAGCGCGCGCUAGUGAGUACAAAGUAGAGGGUGGUACUGGGAGUAUGCCAGAGGGGGGACACCGCGCCGAUUCGCUUAAAAUUACACAUGUGUCGACAAAAAAUUAAUUCAGGGAAUUCAUAUCAUAAGUUAGUACCAGGGGAUUUCUAGCAUCUAGAGAGGAAUGAAAUCCGUAUCAAUGCCAACAAACGGCAUGCAAAAGGUUCAAGCCGUUUGUGUACAAUUAAAUAAAUAAAAACACCCUUUCUCCAUAAGCUAACAUGUAAAAAACACCAUGUUCAAAGAUAGCUGGGUUUUACUUUGACGGAAAAACCAGCAGUCAGAAAAAAUUUUCAAUCUCACCGCUUAAUAGAAAAUUGUCUUAGCUAUUAAGCGAUAUAAAUGUAUAAGAAAUAGCUUAUAUGUUAGACUAGAAUAAGCGGGUCGGAGUCGUGCGCAUUUAACACGGGCGCUUAUGGUAAAACGCAAAAGCGUUCAAAGUGAAUGACGGUUAUUGUACAUGUAUAAUUUCGAUUAUAUUAAUUGUAUUUUUGGAGUGCCUAGAAGAAUAGUCGGAAGGUACACGUCGGGUAGGCUAUUAUUAUCAUGUUGCCCUCGUACAAAACGUGAUUAUUCUUUUUUUACUUCUUUAGCAUUUUUUGCUGUUUUGGAUAAAGAGACACCUUUAUCUAAAAAAAGUUGGUGCCUUCUCAAACAGGUAUAAUUUUGAUUAUAUUAAUUGUAUUUAUCAUGUUAUAUCAAUUAUUUUAUCACAUUAUUUUACUUUUAUUUAGUAAAUUGUCUUUAAAAUAACUGAAACAAUUUAUAUAGUUUAAUGUGUGCUGUAGAUAAUAAAUGAUGCACUUUCAUUUCCAUAUUUCAAUUGUACCCACUUUACUUUAAUUUUACUAUUUUUUAUUGCAUGGCAGCGAUGUAUAAAGUUUUUAUGACUCAAUUUUGAAUUUUUAAUUGGAGCCACAUUUAAAAUACGUUAUUUCUGUUUGCCUAUCGUGUUUUGUCAUGCUUAAGUCUGGAGAGAUUGGAUAUUGGUUACCUGCACUGCCAUAAAAGAUUUUGAUUUAGGUUUUAAUCUCUUUUUAAAAUGAUUAUAAUGGCAAGUUCCGAAAAUGACGAAGUAAAUUCUGACCAGCACUCAACAGCAGAAAUCGACAGAUUUGAGUUUAGGAAGAACCAGCCAUCAACAGCAUCAGGCAAUAAAACAGUUGGGUUAAUGAAGAAACAUUCAGAUCCCGUUAAGAAUAAGGAAAGGAAUGCGAAGAAUUCGUGCAAAUCAAACACUGGGCACAUGUAAAAAAUUCUUUUUAUUUAAAUAGAACAUUAUUUCGUUUCAAA
This is a long non-coding RNA of Daphnia magna, 2247 nucleotides long. RefSeq lists it as uncharacterized. The transcript is spliced from 3 exons. The record is from RefSeq and is a predicted model, not a curated record. NCBI's taxonomy places the organism in Eukaryota, Metazoa, Arthropoda, Branchiopoda, Diplostraca, Daphniidae.